This 322-nucleotide ribosomal RNA is filed under the name uncultured eukaryote. Its description in RNAcentral is "partial 18S ribosomal RNA". It matches the Rfam family "Eukaryotic small subunit ribosomal RNA", at positions 1470 to 1796 of the family's 1831-position model. The record is from RNAcentral.
CCCUUAGAUGUUCUGGGCCGCACGCGUGCUACACUGAGUGGAUCAGCGGGUCAGGUUACGCGAGCGCGUUUCCUAAUCUUCAAAUCCGCUCGUGAUGGGGAUUGACGGUUGCAAUUUUCCGUCAUGAACGAGGAAUACCUUGUAAGCGCGGGUCAUCAUCCCGCGCUGAAUACGUCCCUGCCCUUUGUACACACCGCCCGUCGCUCCUACCGAUUGAGUGGUCCGGUGAGGCUUUGGGAUCUAAGCGAAAAGAGCGUUUCGCUCCUUUUGCUGGGAGAACUCAGUCGAACCUUAUCAUUUAGAGGAAGGAGAAGUCGUAACA